GGCUCAGAUUGAACGCUGGCGGAAUGCUUACACAUGCAAGUCGAACGGUAGAGGGGGCAACCCUUGAGAGUGGCGAACGGGUGAGUAAUAUAUCGGAACGUGCCCAGUCGUGGGGGAUAACGUAGCGAAAGUUACGCUAAUACCGCAUACGAUCUAAGGAUGAAAGCGGGGGAUCGCAAGACCUCGCGCGAUUGGAGCGGCCGAUAUCAGAUUAGGUAGUUGGUGAGGUAAAGGCUCACCAAGCCGACGAUCUGUAGCUGGUCUGAGAGGACGACCAGCCACACUGGGACUGAGACACGGCCCAGACUCCUACGGGAGGCAGCAGUGGGGAAUUUUGGACAAUGAGCGCAAGCCUGAUCCAGCAAUGCCGCGUGCAGGAUGAAGGCCUUCGGGUUGUAAACUGCUUUUGUACGGAACGAAACGGUGAGCUCUAAUACAGUUUGCUAAUGACGGUACCGUAAGAAUAAGCACCGGCUAACUACGUG
RNAcentral lists this ribosomal RNA (485 nucleotides) under uncultured bacterium. RNAcentral describes it as "bacterial SSU rRNA". It matches the Rfam family "Bacterial small subunit ribosomal RNA", at positions 21 to 507 of the family's 1533-position model. The record is from RNAcentral.